Molecule: ribosomal RNA, 253 nt
Filed under: uncultured bacterium
Lineage: Bacteria
Description: partial 16S ribosomal RNA
Rfam family: Bacterial small subunit ribosomal RNA
Source: RNAcentral
UACGUAGGCAGCGAGCGUUGUUCGGAAUUACUGGGCGUAAAGAGUGCGUAGGCGGUGCUCUACGUCUGUCGUGAACUCUCCCGGCUCAACUGGGCGGGUGCGGCGGAAACUAGAGUGCUAGAGUGUGGGAGAGGUAAGCGGAAUUCCUGGUGUAGCGGUGAAAUGCGUAGAUAUCAGGAGGAACACCUGCGGUGUAGACAGCUUACUGGAUCACGACUGACGCUGAGGCACGAAAGCGUGGGUAGCAAACAGG